GACAAACGCUGGCGGCGUGCUUAACACAUGCAAGUCGAGCGGUAAGGCCCUUUCGGGGGUACGACGAGCGGCGAACGGGUGAGUAACACGUGGGUGACCUGCCCUCAGCUCUGGGAUAAGCCUGGGAAACCGGGUCUAAUACCGGAUAUGACUCCAUGACGCAUGUUGUGGGGUGGAAAGCCUUGUGCGGCUGAGGAUGGGCCCGCGGCCUAUCAGCUUGUUGGUGGGGUGAUGGCCUACCAAGGCGACGACGGGUAGCCGGCCUGAGAGGGCGACCGGCCACACUGGGACUGAGACACGGCCCAGACUCCUACGGGAGGCAGCAGUGGGGAAUCUUGCGCAAUGGGCGAAAGCCUGACGCAGCGACGCCGCGUGAGGGAUGACGGCCU
Molecule: ribosomal RNA, 389 nt
Filed under: uncultured bacterium
Lineage: Bacteria
Description: bacterial SSU rRNA
Rfam family: Bacterial small subunit ribosomal RNA
Source: RNAcentral